Tigriopus californicus is the source of this 2735-nucleotide long non-coding RNA. RefSeq lists it as uncharacterized. The record is from RefSeq and is a predicted model, not a curated record. The transcript is spliced from 4 exons. Lineage: Eukaryota; Metazoa; Arthropoda; Copepoda; Harpacticoida; Harpacticidae.
ACACGGGAUUUGAGUAUUCAAAAACACCAGUUUGUCCACUUUGUCGUCCAGAGAGCAUGAAAACCAAGUUCGGGUUCAAUUCUUGUGGACGAUUCAUUACCAAUCGGAUGAGUACUUUUUGGCCCUCACAUUGAUCUAAUUUGGGAGACCUCCAUUGCGUGUUCUUGGUUUGCUUAAAAAAUGGACAAUGGGAAAAACAGUUUCAGUCGUCGAUUCUCCAACCAAAUCAGGAAUGCACCAAGUUCCCAUUCAAAUUCAUGAAAUUCAGACUGCCACCGAGAAAGGAUUGAACGAAGAUGAUCAUUCAUGAUCCAACUGGAAUUUCAAAUUUUCCAACUCAUGUCAAGAGGAAUGUUGUGUUUCUCAGAUUUUUCUGGUUCUCCUAAUGAGAGAAUCAAGAUCAGAUCUGCAAGAAUGUAGAACAAAAGGGGGAGAAGAAAUAAACACACUAACACAUGUGGAUUGCAUCCCCGAGAGAUCCUCGGAGUCAAAAAGGAAACUCUCCCAGACCUGGAUAACAGCAACUAUUUUCGUGCUUCGCCUGGCAUGAAGUUGAAAACAGGCACUUGAAAUUGAUUUGAGAUAAAGAGGCCGUGGAACAUUGUUAUUAAGGGACCACCACUCACCUCCCCCCCUCCUCUAUCCAAGGAGAUGCGAAGUGAGUGAACAACAAUUUAUGGCUUGAGACCGAAAUGACAUGAGAAAGUAUCAUGAAGAUCUCAGUGUGUGAUCAUAUUUGAUCCUUUGGAAUCAACUGAGACAUCUCGGGAAUGAAGGUCUAGACACGAAAUCUAAGCUUCAGCUCUCAUCCUCUGAGGCAUGGAGGGCAUGGCCAGCACUCGUGAAGGCGGUCAUAAAACCAGAUUGCUUCGUCAUUUAGUCAAUGAUAAUUCUUGAACGGGUCCCUCUCUCUGGCACGUCUCGUCUUCACACUCUUAAGGAAGGCUCGUUGCUCAUUGGAUAUGCCUCUCCAGGGAUGGCUUAAACGUGGUCUGGACGUUUUCAAGAAAAUGGCUCGACGAAGAGAGCGUCGAUCAUUUACAUUCAAUUUUGGCUCCUUCUAAGCCCGAAGUGUCAAUCCUAACCAGACCAAAACGAUGGAAAACGAACCGCUUCGUCUCGUAAGGAUGAGCUCGUUUAGGUUGUGGAUUGUGGAUAGAAAUGCACCAAUGAGCAUAUGUGUCAAAUGAGGUUAAUUCUUCUUCUCGUCAAACGCCCACAAAACCCAAAAAUGUGGUUGCAACGGAUCUGCAUCGCCAUAUCUUAAAUGGUCACCUCUACAUUUGCCGCCGUUGAUAUCACCCUCGUUUUGCUCCUUCUACGUGCCUCAACGUUUAAUAGUUGGAAGUGGGAAGCUGACAAUCAAUCGUCUUUAGAAGAGGCUACAGCCACGGCAACCGAUAUUUAGACGAAUCUAUGAUAUUUAUCACUUCCGCUGCUGACAGCCAGAAACAUGAUUCCGACAAAUUCCAAGCCCACUUUUUUCAAUGGCAAGGUAUGUGGUCCACGUAUGAAGUAAUGAGCUCCAUGAUAUUCAUGAUAUGGGAGGGGUGCAAUAGGGUUGGUAGCAUGAGCGCACAAAGUGAGAACCAAUCUGAUUUUUCAAACCGAUGCGAAACGAAUGGCUACAGAUGUAUGAGACCACCCAACAUAUGAACCAGCGGAGUCACAUUUUAUGGGCACAAGUUUUCACAUUUUGCAGUGACCACUUUCAAUGGAAGCGGACCAGAGCGAGAUGGUGUUGGAAGAUAGCCAGGGAGUGAGAAGGGCUUGUCUCCUUUCCUCUCUCUUGCUCCUUCCUUCUCAGUUUACAGCCCACUUCUCUCCACUCAAAAAGCUCAAAAAAUCGCCCAAUGCCUUCGUUGAAAUCUCUCCAAUUUAGUAUCUCGGAAUGAAUCGGCCAUAUUUAAAGGCGGCUCACUCACAAAAAGGAAAGAGAAAAAUGGAAUUGACUAAAAGUUGGAAAGAGGUCUUUGACACAUCAUUUUUCGGCAAGUCAUGGCUAGCAUGAAUGAGAAAGAAAGGAACUCGAUGUGGUGGCGAGAAGCCACAUUUCCGCUUUUGUUGGAGCCGAGAAACAAUUCUGUGGAAAUAGGAUCCCGCCCGCGUGCUUUUCUAUCAUAGUCGCGUUAAAACAUGAUAGGUGAACAUUCUUUCGAAAAUGGAAAACGAUCGAAGAACUUCGAGGAGAUAUGGUCACACUGAGAGCCAUUGGUAAUCAACACAAUGGCUCUCCAAGUGCACCCAUUGGUCGUGACGAAUAGACCAGGAAUCGAUAACACUCCCCCCUCCCACUUCUCGUUCGAAAUGCAUUGGAUGCACUUAAGCUUUCAUGUGAGUUUGUCAUAAUGAAGCAACUGCAUCUUUCGGGACUUCGGAUUUCAAGCUUGAUCGUUGACGCUCAACAUUGGAUAUGUUCAUGAGCUGAAUUUGGCGUCAAUCUUGCCCAUUCCAAAACUGAGAGUUGUGUUGAUAAUAGAAAAUAAAACAUUAGCCAAGACAAAGUGGAACAAAGUAGAGAUGACGACAAUUUGUAACAACUCUAAACUUCCAUUGGGCGGAACCGGGUUGACCCCAAUUUGAAAGGGGGCAAUAGAGGGAUGUGACGGUAAUGGGCCAUUCUAAGCAUUUUCCGAGUCAUUACUUGUACUAGGGUGAAAUUAAACCCCACUGAAUUUAACUCUGACAUGAGAGCCAUUCCGUCCACUUUGGAACGAAUCAAGACUGAACUCGAC